Molecule: ribosomal RNA, 497 nt
Filed under: uncultured bacterium
Lineage: Bacteria
Description: partial 16S ribosomal RNA
Rfam family: Bacterial small subunit ribosomal RNA
Source: RNAcentral
GAUGAACGCUGGCGGCGUGCCUAAUACAUGCAAGUCGAGCGAACAGACGAGGAGCUUGCUCCUCUGACGUUAGCGGCGGACGGGUGAGUAACACGUGGAUAACCUAUCUAUAAGACUGGGAUAACUUCGGGAAACCGGAGCUAAUACCGGAUAAUAUAUUGAACCGCAUGGUUCAAUAGUGAAAGACGGUUUUGCUGUCACUUAUAGAUGGAUCCGCGCCGCAUUAGCUAGUUGGUAAGGUAACGGCUUACCAAGGCGACGAUGCGUAGCCGACCUGAGAGGGUGAUCGGCCACACUGGAACUGAGACACGGUCCAGACUCCUACGGGAGGCAGCAGUAGGGAAUCUUCCGCAAAGGGCGAAAGCCUGACGGAGCAACGCCGCGUGAGUGAUGAAGGUCUUCGGAUCGUAAAACUCUGUUAUUAGGGAAGAACAAAUGUGUAAGUAACUAUGCACGUCUUGACGGUACCUAAUCAGAAAGCCACGGCUAACUACGUG